This 274-nucleotide ribosomal RNA is filed under the name uncultured bacterium. RNAcentral's name for it is "partial 16S ribosomal RNA". It matches the Rfam family "Bacterial small subunit ribosomal RNA", at positions 523 to 796 of the family's 1533-position model. The record is from RNAcentral.
AUACGGAGGGUGCAAGCGUUACUCGGAAUCACUGGGCGUAAAGCGCGCGCAGGCGGGCUGAUAAGUUGGAUGUGAAAGCCUACGGCUCAACCGUAGAACUGCAUCCAAAACUGUCAGUCUAGAGUGUGGGAGAGGAAGAUGGAAUUAGUUGUGUAGGGGUAAAAUCCGUAGAGAGAACUAGGAAUACCAAAAGCGAAGGCAAUCUUCUGGAACACUACUGACGCUGAGGCGCGAAGGCGUGGGGAGCAAACAGGAGUAGAAACCCCAGUAGUCC